Molecule: ribosomal RNA, 500 nt
Filed under: uncultured bacterium
Lineage: Bacteria
Description: partial 16S ribosomal RNA
Rfam family: Bacterial small subunit ribosomal RNA
Source: RNAcentral
ACUCAAAUGAAUAGACGGGGGCCCGCACAAGCGGUGGAGCAUGUGGUUCAAUUCGAUGCAACGCGAAGAACCUUACCCGGGUUUGAACUGUGGAGGAAAGUCUCAGAGAUGAGAUUCCCUAGCAAUAGGUCUUUACAGAGGUGCUGCAUGGCUGUCGUCAGCUCGUGUCGUGAGAUGUUGGGUUAAGUCCCGCAACGAGCGCAACCCUUGCUGUUAGUUGCUCGGCCGUAAGGUCAGCACUCUAAUAGGACUGCCGGUGAUAAACCGGAGGAAGGUGGGGAUGACGUCAAGUCAUCAUGGCCUUUAUGUCCGGGGCUACACACGUGCUACAAUGGCUGGUACAAAGGGUUGCCAAACCGCAAGGUGGAGCCAAUCCCAUCAAAGCCAGCCUCAGUUCGGAUUGUAGUCUGCAACUCGACUACAUGAAGUUGGAAUCGCUAGUAAUCGCGGAUCAGCAUGCCGCAGUGAAUACGUUUCCGGGCCUUGCACACACCGCCCGU